Molecule: ribosomal RNA, 1435 nt
Filed under: uncultured organism
Description: 16S ribosomal RNA
Rfam family: Bacterial small subunit ribosomal RNA
Source: RNAcentral
CAGGCUUAACACAUGCAAGUCGAGGGGCAUCAGGAAGAAAGCUUGCUUUCUUUGCUGGCGACCGGCGCACGGGUGAGUAACACGUAUCCAACCUGCCCUUUACUCGGGGAUAGCCUUUCGAAAGAAAGAUUAAUACCCGAUGGCAUAAUGAUUCCGCAUGGUUUCAUUAUUAAAGGAUUCCGGUAAAGGAUGGGGAUGCGUUCCAUUAGGUUGUUGGUGAGGUAACGGCUCACCAAGCCUUCGAUGGAUAGGGGUUCUGAGAGGAAGGUCCCCCACAUUGGAACUGAGACACGGUCCAAACUCCUACGGGAGGCAGCAGUGAGGAAUAUUGGUCAAUGGGCGCUAGCCUGAACCAGCCAAGUAGCGUGAAGGAUGAAGGCUCUAUGGGUCGUAAACUUCUUUUAUAUAAGAAUAAAGUGCAGUAUGUAUACUGUUUUGUAUGUAUUAUAUGAAUAAGGAUCGGCUAACUCCGUGCCAGCAGCCGCGGUAAUACGGAGGAUCCGAGCGUUAUCCGGAUUUAUUGGGUUUAAAGGGAGCGUAGGUGGACUGGUAAGUCAGUUGUGAAAGUUUGCGGCCCAACCGUAAAAUUGCAGUUGAUACUGUCAGUCUUGAGUACAGUAGAGGUGGGCGGAAUUCGUGGUGUAGCGGUGAAAUGCUUAGAUAUCACGAAGAACUCCGAUUGCGAAGGCAGCUCACUGGACUGCAACUGACACUGAUGCUCGAAAGUGUGGGUAUCAAACAGGAUUAGAUACCCUGGUAGUCCACACAGUAAACGAUGAAUACUCGCUGUUUGCGAUAUACAGUAAGCGGCCAAGCGAAAGCAUUAAGUAUUCCACCUGGGGAGUACGCCGGCAACGGUGAAACUCAAAGGAAUUGACGGGGGCCCGCACAAGCGGAGGAACAUGUGGUUUAAUUCGAUGAUACGCGAGGAACCUUACCCGGGCUUAAAUUGCAGUGGAAUGAUGUGGAAACAUGUCAGUGAGCAAUCACCGCUGUGAAGGUGCUGCAUGGUUGUCGUCAGCUCGUGCCGUGAGGUGUCGGCUUAAGUGCCAUAACGAGCGCAACCCUUAUCUUUAGUUACUAACAGGUUAUGCUGAGGACUCUAGAGAGACUGCCGUCGUAAGAUGUGAGGAAGGUGGGGAUGACGUCAAAUCAGCACGGCCCUUACGUCCGGGGCUACACACGUGUUACAAUGGGGGGUACAGAAGGCAGCUAGCGGGUGACCGUAUGCUAAUCCCAAAAGCCUCUCUCAGUUCGGAUCGAAGUCUGCAACCCGACUUCGUGAAGCUGGAUUCGCUAGUAAUCGCGCAUCAGCCACGGCGCGGUGAAUACGUUCCCGGGCCUUGUACACACCGCCCGUCAAGCCAUGGGAGCCGGGGGUACCUGAAGUACGUAACCGCAAGGAUCGUCCUAGGGUAAAACUGGUGACUGGGGC